UACGUAGGUGACAAGCGUUGUCCGGAUUUACUGGGCGUAAAGAGCGCGCAGGCGGUCGAUCAAGUCGAGUGUGAAAGCCCCCGGCUCAACUGGGGAGGGUCAUUCGAUACUGAUCGACUCGAAGGCAGGAGAGGGUAGUGGAAUUCCCGGUGUAGUGGUGAAAUGCGUAGAUAUCGUAAGGAAGACCAGUGGCGAAGGCGAGUUCCUGGACAGUUACUGACACUGAGCACGAAGGCCAGGGAGCAAACGGG
This 251-nucleotide ribosomal RNA is filed under the name uncultured bacterium. RNAcentral's name for it is "partial 16S ribosomal RNA". It matches the Rfam family "Bacterial small subunit ribosomal RNA", at positions 524 to 776 of the family's 1533-position model. The record is from RNAcentral.